This 1500-nucleotide ribosomal RNA is filed under the name uncultured bacterium. RNAcentral describes it as "16S ribosomal RNA". It matches the Rfam family "Bacterial small subunit ribosomal RNA". The record is from RNAcentral.
UUAGAGUUUGAUCCUGGCUCAGAUUGAACGCUGGCGGCAGGCCUAACACAUGCAAGUCGAGCGGUAGAGAGAAGCUUGCUUCUCUUGAGAGCGGCGGACGGGUGAGUAAUGCCUAGGAAUCUGCCUGGUAGUGGGGGAUAACGUUCGGAAACGGACGCUAAUACCGCAUACGUCCUACGGGAGAAAGCAGGGGACCUUCGGGCCUUGCGCUAUCAGAUGAGCCUAGGUCGGAUUAGCUAGUUGGUGGGGUAAUGGCUCACCAAGGCGACGAUCCGUAACUGGUCUGAGAGGAUGAUCAGUCACACUGGAACUGAGACACGGUCCAGACUCCUACGGGAGGCAGCAGUGGGGAAUAUUGGACAAUGGGCGAAAGCCUGAUCCAGCCAUGCCGCGUGUGUGAAGAAGGUCUUCGGAUUGUAAAGCACUUUAAGUUGGGAGGAAGGGUUGUAGAUUAAUACUCUGCAAUUUUGACGUUACCGACAGAAUAAGCACCGGCUAACUCUGUGCCAGCAGCCGCGGUAAUACAGAGGGUGCAAGCGUUAAUCGGAAUUACUGGGCGUAAAGCGCGCGUAGGUGGUUAGUUAAGUUGGAUGUGAAAUCCCCGGGCUCAACCUGGGAACUGCAUUCAAAACUGACUGACUAGAGUAUGGUAGAGGGUGGUGGAAUUUCCUGUGUAGCGGUGAAAUGCGUAGAUAUAGGAAGGAACACCAGUGGCGAAGGCGACCACCUGGACUGAUACUGACACUGAGGUGCGAAAGCGUGGGGAGCAAACAGGAUUAGAUACCCUGGUAGUCCACGCCGUAAACGAUGUCAACUAGCCGUUGGGAGCCUUGAGCUCUUAGUGGCGCAGCUAACGCAUUAAGUUGACCGCCUGGGGAGUACGGCCGCAAGGUUAAAACUCAAAUGAAUUGACGGGGGCCCGCACAAGCGGUGGAGCAUGUGGUUUAAUUCGAAGCAACGCGAAGAACCUUACCAGGCCUUGACAUCCAAUGAACUUUCUAGAGAUAGAUUGGUGCCUUCGGGAACAUUGAGACAGGUGCUGCAUGGCUGUCGACAGCUCGUGUCGUGAGAUGUUGGGUUAAGUCCCGUAACGAGCGCAACCCUUGUCCUUAGUUACCAGCACGUAAUGGUGGGCACUCUAAGGAGACUGCCGGUGACAAACCGGAGGAAGGUGGGGAUGACGUCAAGUCAUCAUGGCCCUUACGGCCUGGGCUACACACGUGCUACAAUGGUCGGUACAGAGGGUUGCCAAGCCGCGAGGUGGAGCUAAUCCCACAAAGCCGAUCGUAGUCCGGAUCGCAGUCUGCAACUCGACUGCGUGAAGUCGGAAUCGCUAGUAAUCGCGAAUCAGAAUGUCGCGGUGAAUACGUUCCCGGGCCUUGUACACACCGCCCGUCACACCAUGGGAGUGGGUUGCACCAGAAGUAGCUAGUCUAACCUUCGGGAGGACGGUUACCACGGUGUGAUUCAUGACUGGGGUGAAGUCGUAACAAGGUAACC